GUACAAGGUUACUGUAGUUUUCUUAUAGAAAAAUUUACCUACACUUAGUCAUCAUAGAUUCAAGAUACAGAUAUGUUAUAUUUUAUAUAUAGGUCUCAUCAUAGAUGGUGUGUGUCUAUAAUGGAUGGAGUUUAAGUAAGAAUUUUCUUUUCUUAUUUAAUUCUUAAGGAUAUUCAUGAAUAAAGAAAUAUAGCAAAGUUUUAUCAAAGUCUAGAGGUUGCUUCAAAAAGAAGAAAAAAAGCUUGUUUUAGGUCAUUUUAAGUUAAGCAAAUGAUGAGGUAAAUGUUCUUCGCUGAUCACUAUUAUUUAUUUGGAAUAAAGUCUGAAG
RNAcentral lists this unclassified non-coding RNA (328 nucleotides) under Hevea brasiliensis (rubber tree). Lineage: Eukaryota; Viridiplantae; Streptophyta; Magnoliopsida; Malpighiales; Euphorbiaceae. The record is from RNAcentral.